Molecule: ribosomal RNA, 765 nt
Filed under: uncultured Streptococcus sp.
Lineage: Bacteria; Bacillati; Bacillota; Bacilli; Lactobacillales; Streptococcaceae
Description: bacterial SSU rRNA
Rfam family: Bacterial small subunit ribosomal RNA
Source: RNAcentral
GACGAACGCUGGCGGCGUGCCUAAUACAUGCAAGUAGAACGCUGAAGAGAGGAGCUUGCUCUUCUUGGAUGAGUUGCGAACGGGUGAGUAACGCGUAGGUAACCUGCCUUGUAGCGGGGGAUAACUAUUGGAAACGAUAGCUAAUACCGCAUAACAAUGGAUGACACAUGUCAUUUAUUUGAAAGGGGCAAUUGCUCCACUACAAGAUGGACCUGCGUUGUAUUAGCUAGUAGGUGAGGUAACGGCUCACCAAGGCGACGAUACAUAGCCGACCUGAGAGGGUGAUCGGCCACACUGGGACUGAGACACGGCCCAGACUCCUACGGGAGGCAGCAGUAGGGAAUCUUCGGCAAUGGACGGAAGUCUGACCGAGCAACGCCGCGUGAGUGAAGAAGGUUUUCGGAUCGUAAAGCUCUGUUGUAAGAGAAGAACGAGUGUGAGAGUGGAAAGUUCACACUGUGACGGUAUCUUACCAGAAAGGGACGGCUAACUACGUGCCAGCAGCCGCGGUAAUACGUAGGUCCCGAGCGUUGUCCGGAUUUAUUGGGCGUAAAGCGAGCGCAGGCGGUUAGAUAAGUCUGAAGUUAAAGGCUGUGGCUUAACCAUAGUACGCUUUGGAAACUGUUUAACUUGAGUGCAAGAGGGGAGAGUGGAAUUCCAUGUGUAGCGGUGAAAUGCGUAGAUAUAUGGAGGAACACCGGUGGCGAAAGCGGCUCUCUGGCUUGUAACUGACGCUGAGGCUCGAAAGCGUGGGGAGCAAACAGG